This 253-nucleotide ribosomal RNA is filed under the name uncultured bacterium. Its description in RNAcentral is "partial 16S ribosomal RNA". It matches the Rfam family "Bacterial small subunit ribosomal RNA", at positions 524 to 776 of the family's 1533-position model. The record is from RNAcentral.
UAUGGAGGGUGCAAGCGUUGUCCGGAUUUAUUGGGUUUAAAGGGUGCGUAGGCGGCUAAUUAAGUCAGUGGUGAAAGCCUGUAGCUCAACUAUAGAAUUGCCAUUGGUACUGGUUAGCUUGAGUUCGGUUGAGGUAAGCGGAAUGGAUAGUGUAGCGGUGAAAUGCAUAGAUAUUAUCCAGAACACCGAUAGCGAAGGCAGCUUACUGGACCGAUACUGACGUUGAGGCACGAAAGCAUGGGGAGCGAACAGG